AGGGAUUUUAAAAGGGUGAUUUAC
RNAcentral lists this non-coding RNA (24 nucleotides) under Arabidopsis thaliana (thale cress). Lineage: Eukaryota; Viridiplantae; Streptophyta; Magnoliopsida; Brassicales; Brassicaceae. The record is from RNAcentral.